UCUUGACAUCCAGCGAACUUUCCAGAGAUGGAUUGGUGCCUUCGGGAACGCUGAGACAGGUGCUGCAUGGCUGUCGUCAGCUCGUGUUGUGAAAUGUUGGGUUAAGUCCGCAACGAGCGCAACCCUUAUCCUUUGUUGCCAGCGAUUCGGUCGGGAACUCAAAGGAGACUGCCGGUGAUAAACCGGAGGAAGGUGGGGAUGACGUCAAGUCAUCAUGGCCCUUACGAGUAGGGCUACACACGUGCUACAAUGGCGCAUACAAAGAGAAGCGACCUCGCGAGAGCAAGCGGACCUCAUAAAGUGCGUCGUAGUCCGGAUCGGAGUCUGCAACUCGACUCCGUGAAGUCGGAAUCGCUAGUAAUCGUGGAUCGGAAUGCCACGGUGAAUACGUUCCCGGGCCUUGUACACACCGCCCGUCACACCAUGGGAGUGGGUUGCAAAAGAAGUAGGUAGCUUAACCUUCGGGAGGGCGCUUACCACUUUGUGAUUCAUGACUGGGGUGAAGUCGUAACAAGGUAGGCGUAGCGAG
This 529-nucleotide ribosomal RNA is filed under the name uncultured bacterium. Its description in RNAcentral is "bacterial SSU rRNA". It matches the Rfam family "Bacterial small subunit ribosomal RNA", at positions 979 to 1509 of the family's 1533-position model. The record is from RNAcentral.